GAGUUUGAUCCUGGCUCAGAAUCAACGCUGGCGGCGUGCCUAACACAUGCAAGUCGAACGAGAAAGUCCCGCAAGGGACAAGUAGAGUGGCGAACGGGUGAGUAACACGUGGAUAACCUGCCGUCGAGUGGGGAAUAACCUUCCGAAAGGAGGGCUAAUACCGCAUAACACCCGAGGACAUAUGUCCCCGGGUUGAAAGGAGUGAUUCGCUCGAUGAGGGGUCCGCGCCUGAUUAGCUUGUUGGUGGGGUAAUGGCUCACCAAGGCGACAAUCAGUAGCCGUCCUGAGAGGGAGCACGGCCACACUGGAACUGAGACACGGUCCAGACUCCUACGGGAGGCAGCAGUGAGGAAUUUUUGGCAAUGGGCGAAAGCCUGACCAAGCAACGCCGCGUGGGUGAUGAAGUAUUUUGGUACGUAAAACCCUUUCGGCAGGGACGAAUUCUUGACGGUACCUGCGGAAGAAGCCCCGGCUAACUCCGUGCCAGCAGCCGCGGUAAUACAAUAC
Molecule: ribosomal RNA, 507 nt
Filed under: uncultured sponge symbiont PAUC47
Lineage: Bacteria
Description: bacterial SSU rRNA
Rfam family: Bacterial small subunit ribosomal RNA
Source: RNAcentral